GAAUAAUUGUGACAGACAGCUGAGGUAUUCCAGUAGACUUACAUUAGUGGUGCAGAGUUGUACCUCCUAUGCUGUUUGGAUUUCUUAGUGAGUAAACUCAAUCUUACUGAACUCUCCCCCAUGAAGAUAUUUUGCUGUAUUUAAGGUAAUAUUGUUGUAUUUUCCAUCCAGGGUGUCCCCUGCCUUCACCCUCAGUCAGAUGGGAUAGACUCCAGCCUCACGCGACCCUAAUGAGGAUUAAACGUUGAAUGGAUGGUUUUUAUCUCUGCUGUUCCAGUUUUUGCAGCCUUGGGGUGAACUUCUGGAGGUGGUGCACAAAUAGCCAAUCGGUCAGAGUGUGGGAGGAGCCGAGUAAACAAAAAAUGAGCAAACAGCUUUGAGGUCAAUCAGGAUCUGAUCAGUCACUCGGAAAUCAGUCAAACUUUAAGAUGAAUCUGAUUCUGCUCUUCGGUCUGUCUCACUGCUGCUGGAUGGCUGCUGCCAGGUAUACAUGGACCGAUAAGCCCUGGAUCAUUGUGGGUGAGCAUGAAAUCAAGGAGGGAGAGACACUGAAGGUCAGCUGCACGCUUCCAAUCGACUACACUGGAGGAAACUGUCGCCUUUUCAGAGGAAACUCUGCCAUCCCCUUCAGGCUAAAGACAGCUUUGGAUUUUGUCUGCGUCUUUCACCUGUCAUCAAAAGUGCUGCUAGGAAAUCAUCCGGUGGGUAGCAAGAUCUCCCUCAGGUGUGACUACCAGAUCCAGGAAUUCACCUCAAGGUCCAGUGACAACGCAGCGGUGAUCGUCUGGGAUGUGAACAGAGUCACCACAUCAGUCAACUGUAAAGUCUCAGUAAGUGAUGAUCAACUGGAGGUGUUCAAAGACAGUAGCUGGACGUCUGCUGGGGCAAAUGGAUCCAGUGUCACCAUCCAGGUGACAAACAGCAGUCUGAUGCUCAGUGACACCUGUGACUACUUAAAGAGUCUGAACUGACGGAAGUGAACACAUAUAGAAUCAGAUAUACUGACGUAAAUACAUACAGAUUCAUACACCCUGAUUUAAACACAUGCAGAGUCAGACUUGAAAUAAAGGAGAGACAUCUGAGUUCAAGAGAAAGAAAAAUGAGUUUAUUUUAGCUUAUUUUUUCUAUACAGUGUGUCUACAAUGGUAGCAGAGGCUAAGGUUGUGGCUGAAUGCAUUUUUACUGUCUCUUGUGUACACAACCUCUCUGGUUGUAAAUGAAAGUCAAUGGAGGGUGGGGAGGAUAUGGUCUUGGUCUGAGAUAUUGGCCCUCUAGUGACAUCCAGUGGUUUUAACUGUUGUACAUCGCAUAGCUACUGAAUUAAACAAUACAUUUCAAAUCAAUUCAACCGACAAUGAUUUAUUGCCAGACUUCAAUUAAUGAGUUGUUCUAACUUGAGGAACUUUACCGAAGUGAAAUCACAGGUUUAAUAAAUGAACUGCUGACCCACACAUUAAAAAACAAACACAAUUUUUUUUUUAAAAAACAAGACAUGGAAUGGAUGUAAAAUAUCUUUUUUCAGAUUACUGAACAAGGAGGUGUGCCAAUAAUUGUUCUAUGAACUGGUAGCGGGUCAAUCUGUCCCUGUGUUUGUGACAGUCCAUUUAAUAUAUUAAAUUCCAAUGUACAUUAUAUGAA
Molecule: long non-coding RNA, 1638 nt
Organism: Amphiprion ocellaris (clown anemonefish)
Lineage: Eukaryota; Metazoa; Chordata; Actinopteri; Pomacentridae
Source: Ensembl